RNAcentral lists this long non-coding RNA (1504 nucleotides) under Sus scrofa (pig). Its description in RNAcentral is "lncRNA (ENSSSCG00030049461.1)". The record is from RNAcentral. Lineage: Eukaryota; Metazoa; Chordata; Mammalia; Artiodactyla; Suidae.
AUGGGGAAAUGCGUGGGAGGCACGGGCAGGGGUUCUUGGGUGCUGUGGGUCCAGUGUCUUCGUCUGGGAGACGUCACGUGGAUGUGUGUGUUCACUGUCGCAACAGCCUUUGAACUGUGCGCGGGGUGGUGCACUUCAUCAAAAGAAUGUUUAGUUAGAGCAAAACGGAGCACACGCCUGUUUGUCGCAGCAGUAUUCCCGGCAGCUCAAACACGGAAGCAGCCCAAGGUGAUCAGCAGAAUGUGUCUAUCCAUAGAGUGCAUGAGACUGGAAGAGCAUCUCUCCUUCAGACUGUGCGCUAUGGUGCGGCCGGGGCUGCUGGGGGCUCCUCUGGACCAGACUGUGCAGGGAGGGUCACCCUCAGGCAGGAAGAGGGAAAGGCACGCAUGGCGUGCAUGCGUGUGUGUGUGUGUGUGUGUGUGUGUGUGUGUGUCUGUGUGGGUGGUGUGGGUGUGUGGCUUGUUAUAUAUAUUGUGUACAUGUGGUUUGUGUGGGUGGUGCGUGUGCGUGUGUGUGUGUGUGUGGUGGUGGUAUGUGUGUGUUGUUUGUAUAUGCGUGUGUGUACUGCGGCUUCUGUGGUAUGUGUGGUGUGGUGUGUGUGUGGGUUUGUGUCUGUGUGUGGUGUGUGUGUAUGUGUGUGUGUCUGUGGUCUGCAUCCUUUGUGUGGGUGGUGUGGGUGGUUGACGGAGGUGGGGCCAGGGCCCCCCUUGUGUGUCACCCCCCUCUGAGCUGUCACAGGAACCAGGAAGUCUGAGCAACCCUCCGCCUCCAGACCAGAGGCACGUCCCGCGUGACCCCGUGUGGAAAUGUCCUCCGAGACUCCGUGGCUGGCAUGUCAGGUGUGGCCGGACUGGCCCACAUGGGCCCCCCUUUGCCCCCCACGACUGCCCUGGGAGAUCCCACCCAGCGGCCGCACAGGCGCUGAGGAGGGCGAGGAGGGCGCGGAAGCCGCGGGGCCUUUGCCAACAGCCGGGACCCCCUGGCUCCGCGCGGCAAGCGAGCGCCUCACUCCCAGCGUCUCUGCCUCUCUUUCAGCUGCUCAGAAAGAGCUCGGAUCAGCGUCGCACCGGACGCGUCCAACGUGCCAUCAGGAAAACCUCCCAUCUCCCGCCGACCCGCGGUGCAGGCCCCUCGACCCAUCAGAGAGGAAACCGCAGUUGGGCUCGUAGGACGUGAGGCUGUCCUGGAGCUUUGCCACGAAAGAGCCACUGGGGCUCCAGGCAAAACCAGGGCCAGGGGAGGGGGGAGGGCGAGCGAAGCUUCUUCCAGAAGGAACAGAUUUGUGCGGGUACUUUGAUCCUGCUAUGAUUUUUAUUUGUUUUAGCCACAUCCUUUUCACUGCGCCACCCCGCUAAAGGUGCUUUAAAUCAGAUGGAGCUAGGAACCCCUCCCCCGCCUCCCUCCCUGCCCGCCUCCCAGGCCUCGGUCUUCAAUCAGUGCGAGAAGGAUAACCACGCCAGGCUCCAAUGUCGCUGGAAUAAAUCGAGACAAAUAAAUAAACUCA